AAAGAAGGAAGGUUGUUUAUUAGGAAAUUUUAUAUUCUGUAAUCUUGUGACUGUAUUUUCUCUAUGAUUACGAAUGUCAGGAGAACAAUAGUGAUACUAUUCUGAAGGAGUGUUGUGUAGUUCCAGUAGCAUGACUUAUUUUUUUUUUUAAUCUUCAUUUUAAUUGAUAUUUUGACUUGCCAAAAGGUCUGACCUCAUUGCCUCCAGACAAAAGUCCUACAAACUAAUAAACUGUACAACAAAUCAGUGUGUAUCAUGCAGGCUGAUUUUUCAUGGCUGAAUUUGAGUUCUGCACAAUUAAGCUGAAAAUAUAAGUUUAAUACCCAAUGUCUGCUUUUUCUCUUCUCUUUGACAGCCCACUUAGGGGAGGACUUAGCUCUGCUAAAGAAACAUUAUUUGGCAAAUAAUCUGAUCAAUUUCAUUUAUAUUCCUGGCAAUGAAAUGUUAAGAGCCUACCUCACCGUUACAUCAUCUAUAUUGUACAGAGUCGUUGGUAGGAGAUUAAAUUUUGAACCAAAAAUCCAAUUUCACAGAAAUAAAAAGUCUUACCUAAGUGCAUUAAGUAGAUCUUUAGUAGAGUAGUUAAUACCAAUUAUAUUCUGGGCUGUCUGAAUCAUGAAUUAUCCAUUCAGACAUGAUUCUAUUUUUUAUCUUUAAAUAACUCAGGUUUUUUUUAGAGGCUAGAUCAUCCUACUUUCUUUUGGCUGUUCAGUCUUGAAAUUUCCUGUGUUGUUUUAGAAAGCAAUGAUGGGAAAGCCAUGCUAGGUCAGCAGUUUGUAUAAAACAGGAGUUGAUCUGUCAGGUACUUUGACAUUCAAUCAACUAUAAAGACGAGCAAAAGGGAUAUUCUUAGUAAAGUCAUUUUAAAUAAAAAGAUACAAAAUUGACUUA
Molecule: long non-coding RNA, 891 nt
Filed under: Marmota monax (woodchuck)
Lineage: Eukaryota; Metazoa; Chordata; Mammalia; Rodentia; Sciuridae
Source: RNAcentral